This is a non-coding RNA of Drosophila ficusphila, 64 nucleotides long. Lineage: Eukaryota; Metazoa; Arthropoda; Insecta; Diptera; Drosophilidae. The record is from Rfam.
AGGAGCAGAGGCUCUGGCAGCUUCUGAAGCGUUUAUAUAACUCAAAAUAUAUAUACGCGUUCCG